AAUAAACUCAACUGAAAAUCAUGCAAAACCAAGAUAAAUGUGUUAGGACUUAAUUGUCACCACCAUAUAAAUUUCCGUCAAGCCUGGUAAGAGAAGCUUGGAGCAAUAUUUUCGACAAUAUACAUUAUAAGCAUGAUGUAGUUACGAAAUAGCUUUACCAGACUACUUUUCUUCCCAACAAAUAUGUUUUUGCUAGAACAACUCAAAUUGCAAUUGCUCUCCUGCAGCACUAUAUUCCAGAUACUUUUCCUCCUCUUGAGUUGCUAUUUUGGAAAUACCGGUGUCAUAGAACUCUGGAAUUUGGGGUGGAAUGGCACAGCGUAUCAAUGGCCAAUUUAGGCCGUCGAAGAAUGGGUGUCGUUUGAUCUCGGCAGCUCCAGUCUCCGUCCCCAACCGGUUCUCGGGUUCCUUCACCAAAAGACCUCUAAUGAGAU
This 434-nucleotide long non-coding RNA is filed under the name Olea europaea subsp. europaea. Lineage: Eukaryota; Viridiplantae; Streptophyta; Magnoliopsida; Lamiales; Oleaceae. The record is from RNAcentral.